UACGUAGGCAGCGAGCGUUAUUCGGAAUUACUGGGCGUAAAGAGUGUGUAGGCGGCGCUCUAAGUUCGGUGUGAAAUCUCUCGGCUUAACUGGGAGGGUGCGCCGGAAACUGGAGUGCUCGAACGUGGGAGAGGAAAGCGGAAUUCCUGGUGUAGCGGUGAAAUGCGUAGAUAUCAGGAGGAACACCGAUUGCGAAGGCAGCUCGCUGGAACGUUACUGACGCUGAGACGCGAAAGCGUGGGAAGCAAACAGG
Molecule: ribosomal RNA, 253 nt
Filed under: uncultured bacterium
Lineage: Bacteria
Description: partial 16S ribosomal RNA
Rfam family: Bacterial small subunit ribosomal RNA
Source: RNAcentral